This 345-nucleotide long non-coding RNA is filed under the name Marmota monax (woodchuck). Lineage: Eukaryota; Metazoa; Chordata; Mammalia; Rodentia; Sciuridae. The record is from RNAcentral.
GUGGCAUUUGACCUGGCCCACCUGUAGCCAGGGCUUUCUGUGAAGCGGCAUCUCCAGGUCAGGGUGAGUCUGGGGGGCCUUGAGGGCCCCUCUUUAGUUUCUGAGAAGGCUUGUGACAGCUAUCCUUGAAUUCAGACAGAAUGACUGUCCUGCACCUUGGCCAACCAUGACAGCAGGAGCCACCUCUGGAUCCCGGGUCUCUCCUCUGUGCAAAGGCCCUGAGGCAGGAGCAGCUCAGUGUGUGGGAAGAGCAGUCCGGAGGCGCGUGGCGAGUGCAGAGGAGGGUGGCGGUGGGUGGCACGACGGGCCAGGUGAGAGGGUCCUUCAGACUCUGGCAGGGGUUUG